AAAGCGUCCGCAGGCGGUUUUGUAAGUCUGUUGUUAAAGCGUGGAGCUUAACUCCAUUUCAGCAAUGGAAACUGCAAGACUAGAGUGUGGUAGGGGCAGAGGGAAUUCCCGGUGUAGCGGUGAAAUGCGUAGAUAUCGGGAAGAACACCAGUGGCGAAGGCGCUCUGCUGGGCCAUAACUGACGCUCAUGGACGAAAGCCAGGGGAGCGAAAGGGAUUAGAUACCCCUGU
RNAcentral lists this ribosomal RNA (230 nucleotides) under uncultured bacterium. RNAcentral describes it as "partial 16S ribosomal RNA". It matches the Rfam family "Bacterial small subunit ribosomal RNA", at positions 562 to 791 of the family's 1533-position model. The record is from RNAcentral.